UAAAAGUCGUUUCAGUGACACAUGUUUCAAGCAUAUAGUUUUACUUAUUUACGAUGGUCUAGAAAAGAAAACUGUCGUUAUGAAGAAAUCUAUUCAAAAGGUUGGCAUGAGAGUAACCCUUCAAUAUAAUGACUACACCUUCCAUGAGGGAUCAAUUUCAAGUGAUAAAAUGUUUUGUUUUGUUGUAAAAACCACUUCUUAUUUAGGGGG
RNAcentral lists this long non-coding RNA (210 nucleotides) under Mytilus galloprovincialis (Mediterranean mussel). The record is from RNAcentral. Lineage: Eukaryota; Metazoa; Mollusca; Bivalvia; Mytilida; Mytilidae.